CAGCCGCCGCGGUUAACACCGGCGGCCCGAGUGGUAGCCGCUAUUAUUGGGUCUAAAGGGUCCGUAGCCGGUUCGAUAAGUCCUCUGGGAAAUCUGGUUGCUUAACAAUCAGACUGCCAAGGGAUACUGUCGAACUUGAGACCGGGAGAGGUAAGAGGUACUUCAGGGGUAGGAGUGAAAUCUUGUAAUCCCUGGGGGACCAUCUGUGGCGAAGGCGCCUUACCAGAACGGGUCUGACGGUGAGGGACGAAAGCUGGGGGCGCAAACCGGAUUAGAUACCCGGGUAGUCCCAGCCGUAAACGAUGCUCGCUAUGUGUCAGGUACGGUGUGACCGUAUCUGGUGCCGUAGGGAAGCCGUGAAGCGAGCCACCUCGGAAAGUACGGUCGCAAGACU
Molecule: ribosomal RNA, 394 nt
Filed under: uncultured archaeon
Lineage: Archaea
Description: bacterial SSU rRNA
Rfam family: Archaeal small subunit ribosomal RNA
Source: RNAcentral